GCGUCGUUCGUCCAAGGGUUUAAGAUAGCUGCCUUCCAAGCAUGUGAACAGCAGCAGAUUCGGGUUCGAGUCCCGGACGACGCA
Molecule: transfer RNA, 84 nt
Organism: Tilletiaria anomala
Lineage: Eukaryota; Fungi; Basidiomycota; Exobasidiomycetes; Georgefischeriales; Tilletiariaceae
Rfam family: tRNA
About the family: Transfer RNA (tRNA) molecules are approximately 80 nucleotides in length.
Source: Rfam